Doryrhamphus excisus (bluestripe pipefish) is the source of this 1190-nucleotide non-coding RNA. The record is from RefSeq and is a predicted model, not a curated record. Lineage: Eukaryota; Metazoa; Chordata; Actinopteri; Syngnathiformes; Syngnathidae.
GCAACAUUGAAAGCGUUUUUAAAAAGAAAAGCAACACGGCUGCAGCAGCGAAAGAACGCGAGUCGGCGUGGGAGAAGAUUACUGCUCGAGUCAAUGCAUGUAAUCCCACCGGCGAAAAAAGAACGUGGAAGCAGCUGAAGAUGAAAUAUAAAAACAUUGUUCAAACAGCCAACAGAAAGCGGGCAUCUGCCCGCAAAACUGGCGGAGGACCACCCCCACCACGUCUGACCGAGGCAGAGGAGCUGGCCAUGGGUCAGACUGUCGGGAGGCCAGUCGCAGAGGGGAUCCCUGGAGGAACCUCAUCCUCGGACAUGAUUACACAGGAGCCACCAGCCUUGAUAAGAUGCAAUAGGCCUAGGCCUCAAACUUCUUUUGGGCCUAUAGUUCAAUGUUAAUUUCCCUUUCAUGUGUUUUUCUUUUGUCUCAACAGAUUCUGAAGACGUACUUGGUCUAGUGGAUCCAUGUGCCACUUUAACUGAUGAUGAAGAUGAUGGGACCACAAUGUCUGCUGCCUUCUCUGUGGUGUCUGAGAGGGAGCCUGAGAGGCCUACAGAGCAGAGCAUGGCUGGGCAGCAGGAAGAGGGUCCCUCAACCUCCACAGCACAGAUUGACACACUACCACUAAAAGAAAUCUACAAAGUGCAUUUAUUAAAAACAGUACAAAAAACAGAAAAAGAAAUGGUGCUGCUGGACCGCCAGAUAACUAAAACGGAUCUGGAAAUUGAAUUAUUAAAACACAAGUUAGAGGUGGGUGCAUGGUCAUAGGUGAAUUGUGUUGAUGAUUGUAACAAUUAAAAAGUAAGAAACCAUUUUUUUUCUUAUUUGUAGGAAAUAAAGAAGACCAAAUAAAAUUUUUUUUGUCUUUCUGUUUAUUUUACUGCUGUUGGUGAUGGUGAUUAUGAAAAACGACCAAACUGGCUUUAAACAGGCGCGACAAUGAAUGAAUCACACCGGAGACAGAAAGAAACUCGAGGUUCAUUGAAGAAAACCUGGUCCCGACCAGGUUAUGUUCACAGAGUCUGUUGCCAUAGUAACUGACACCGAGGUUAAGUUACCUCUCUCUGUGAAACAGGCUGGAGUUACUCCUCUGUCUCUGGUUUGACUUACCUCCCUUUUUGAAACGGAAAACUCAGAGUUUCCCUCAUUUCAGGGUUAACAUACUCCGAGUUUUCACUAAACCUGCUUCGUGA